GGAUGCGAUCAUACCAGCACUAAAGCACCAGAUCCCAUCAGAACUCUGAAGUUAAGCGUGCUUGGGCGAGAGUAGUACUAGGAUGGGUGACCUCCUGGGAAGUCCUCGUGUUGCAUUAC
RNAcentral lists this ribosomal RNA (119 nucleotides) under Triticum aestivum (bread wheat). The record is from RNAcentral. Lineage: Eukaryota; Viridiplantae; Streptophyta; Magnoliopsida; Poales; Poaceae.